GAAAGAUUAUAAAGUAGAAAAGACACAAUCAGAUGUCAUGUGUCUUAAACAUAGAUUUACAAGUAGAAGGUCCAGUUUAUAUGAUCCAAAUCUCCACAAACUAAAUUAUAACCAAGAUGAUAUUGGUAGCACACAAUAUCAUUUUUACAAUGGCUAGGAGAACCUGCAUAGCCUCAAGGAAGACGUAACCGAUAUGUAAUUUGCUGAAUACAAUCAAAGUUUCCAACUUCAAAAGUUAGUCCUGCUUGGAAUCAUCCACUCCAACUGCCUUAGGUACAGGAUGGGGGGCGCCAGGACUUGGUUCUUCUCCGGAAACAGAAUUAUUGGGUUUAGUAGCUGAUGGUUUAAAAGGACAAGCAGGAGGUGCGCUUUCUGGUUUCUGAUACUCCUUCCCACACAUUCUAUAAACUUUCGCCAUGAGAAUAUGGAAGAGAACAGGUAAUAAAUUAACGAUCGGGACUAGGAACAGUGGUAUUAAGCAAGCUACACAAACCAUUUUUUUUAAAGAUUUGUUUAAAAAAAAAUUACUUUUUUCCUUUGUGUUCUUAGAUUUCUGGUUUGUUUUUGUGUGGAGAAGA
This 578-nucleotide unclassified non-coding RNA is filed under the name Hevea brasiliensis (rubber tree). The record is from RNAcentral. Lineage: Eukaryota; Viridiplantae; Streptophyta; Magnoliopsida; Malpighiales; Euphorbiaceae.